AAUGAUAAAAAUUCUUCUUGAUAUGAAGAAAAAGGCAAAAACCUAUCAUUU
Molecule: transfer RNA, 51 nt
Filed under: Walchia hayashii
Lineage: Eukaryota; Metazoa; Arthropoda; Arachnida; Trombidiformes; Trombiculidae
Description: tRNA-Ile
Source: RNAcentral